CUCUGCUACCUCUCCCUCUCUCUGCUACCUCUCCCUCUCUCUUUGUCUCUCUGCUACAUCUCCCUCUCCCUCUCCCUCGACGCUAACUCAAGCCAACAUGAUUCGAACUCGGCGAAACCCACCCAUUUGUCCUCAGCGAAAUCCAUCUCUACAAAACCCAAGUUCCAUCAUCGACCACCAGGUUAUGCAAGGAUUGAUUAUGGGAAUAUUGUUGGUGGUGGAUCGUCAUCAUCAGCUGGAGUUUAGCUGUUGGCCAUGCAGAAGUUGAGGGGCUUUCUCGCAUUACUACUGUUGUUCCUGGUACAGACGAAUCAAUUAGCAAGUUGGUACAGCAGCUUUAUAAGCUUGCCGAUAUUCAUGAUGUGAGAAUGUUUAACUACUACAAAGAAUGCAUUUAUUUAAUAUGUUAAAGUAAAAUUGAUUCGUUCUCAUCUCUUAUGAAUUGUGAUGAAUGCAAUGAGUAAAUUUAAUGCUACUUGGUUAAUGCAAAUUAUGUAUAUGUUUGUUUUGAUGGAAAUUGUGAACUUAGAUGCAUGCUAGACAUUGGACAACCUUUGAAUAAAUGGAAUGAUGUUGUAUUAGCCUUUGAUGGAAUGGAAUGGAAUGAUAUAAUGGCAAAA
Prunus persica (peach) is the source of this 620-nucleotide long non-coding RNA. RefSeq lists it as uncharacterized. The transcript has 2 exons. The record is from RefSeq and is a predicted model, not a curated record. Lineage: Eukaryota; Viridiplantae; Streptophyta; Magnoliopsida; Rosales; Rosaceae.